ACCACAUCCAGCCAGGUCGCAUUGUCGGUGAACAUUAACUUCCCAAUUUGAAUUGCUUGCGUUUAAGAAGGUGAUGGGCUUUCAUUCAGCUUCUUAAUUGCAACACUCCAGCUGCGAUUUGUACUUGCCACACUCCAGCGGUGAUUCCGGCAUGCUCUCUGGCAGGUAUGUUCUUUCGAUUUUCUGCCAACUAUUUCUGAUUAAUUGUCAUGCCUCAAACAGAAAAAGUGCCAAAAUACUCUGCGUGGGAGUGAUAUGAAUGUUUAACAACUUAACUUUUAAAUUAAGGCUAAAGAUUAGAGACUCAAAAAAUAAAUAUUGGGCAUAAAUGCCAUGGGUAAAAUAAAUAUUUAGAUUGGGGUAUAACUCUAUUAACCACCGGAUUAAAGGAAGGAGGUCAGGUUUCUCGUAAUUUAAGGAUGUCCAUGAAAUAGAUUUAGUACUAUGAAAUAGAUUUAGAUAUCCUCAACAAGCGUGAGGCCGUGAAACUAUCCUGAUUGUUUUCAACUGCAGGCUUCACCAAAUUUCAUCUCUUCUUGUUAAAAGAGCAUUAGGAGAUUUAUUCUGCUAAUACAGUUUAGUCCAACCCCGGUGUAUAAUGUACAAAACCUUUUCUUACUACAAUCUGGAAGCAAUUCUUAGUGAUAUGUCGUUCAUGUAUGAUCCAAUCAGGCAUUAAAGUUUAUACAGCAGCAGCUGCAGCAGAAAGCUUGCGAUCGUAGGAGUCCCAGACUAAUAGAUAAAUGUAUAGUCUCUUCACAAAAUUUGAUUACACAAGUCACUCCAUUGUGUUUCUGGCCACCAAGUCAUUUGGUUGAGCGUUUUGUUAAAGCAUCAGCACAGUAAUGACACCUGUGAACAAAAGGACAGAGAUGCAGCAAUUUGAGGAAAACAGAAUGCAUGCAAAGAACUAGAUCCUUCUGAAAUGAAUAAGGCGACAAGUGAACUAUAGAUUGACAAAAGAGUAGAAAAUACUGAACUUACAAAACAAAAAUAUAGAGAAAACAACUACAACACACAUAGCAUAAACAAAAAUUUGAAGGAAAAAAAGAUCCACCGGUAAAAUACUAAAUACGGAGACUUCUGAAGCACAAACUUAUUGUAAUUGUUGAUUAUAAUAUGAAGCAUGUCAAUCACUAAUUCUUCAAGAGGAAGCAGUGACAUAUCUGGGAAAGUUCAAUCUGCCAAAAUAUCAAGACAAUCUCAAGAUAUCAUAUGAGUUAGCAGGAUUCUAACUAUCUAUUAAUGCAACUUAAUGUUAACUUUAUAAUGGAACUUUUGUAAAGCCUCACAACAUUCUAUAUGCAUUGGAAGCUAAUUGUAACCUAUACAAUGUCUAGGUAAUCGGAGAAACAGGCAAACAGAACAAAAAACAUUUAAAUACAAGAAUUAUUAUCCUUAAGAGAGAUUAUCUCAGCAAGUAGCUCAGGGUCUGAAAAACAAGCAGGUGUUUAUCUUAAAAAGGUUCCAAUCAUUAAUGUUUUGGCAGUCAUUGUAAAUCUGAACAACAACGAAAAUUGUAAACUAUUGACUUUGUGUAUCUGAUGAAUAAUAAUUUAUAUGUCCACCUACUGCCACCUUAUUUGUGUGUGCCGUUGUUAGCUCUUUGGUUAUGACCGCUGACAAGAGGAAGAAGCCUUUUUGCGAUUAAAUGUCCUUCUUCCAUGUCCAUAUGUAUGGUCGAAUAAAUUUCGCUCUUAAUUGAUUUAGUCUUACCAGUUAUGUAUCCCAUUUUGUAGCCUCACCUGUUAGCUGUACUUCCGAUUGCUCCUUUCGUUCGUCAACUGCUUCCAACAACUACAUCGACUGCCUGUCC
RNAcentral lists this long non-coding RNA (1816 nucleotides) under Coffea arabica (coffee). RNAcentral's name for it is "long non-coding RNA (CARA_LNC006253)". Lineage: Eukaryota; Viridiplantae; Streptophyta; Magnoliopsida; Gentianales; Rubiaceae. The record is from RNAcentral.